GAUGAACGCUAGCGGGAGGCCUAACACAUGCAAGCCGAGCGGUAUUUGUCUUUCGGGACAGAGAGAGCGGCGUACGGGUGCGGAACACGUGUGCAACCUGCCUUUAUCAGGGGGAUAGCCUUUCGAAAGGAAGAUUAAUACCCCAUAAUAUAUCUGAUGGCAUCAUUAGAUAUUGAAAACUCCGGUGGAUAGUGAUGGGCACGCGCAAGAUUAGAUAGUUGGUAAGGUAACGGCUCACCAAGUCAGUGAUCUUUAGGGGGCCUGAGAGGGUGGUCCCCCACACUGGUACUGAGACGCGGACCAGAAUCCUACGGGAGGCAGCAGUGAGGAAUAUUGGACAAUGGGUGCGGGCCUGAUCCAGCCAUCCCGCGUGAAGGACGACGGUUCUAUGGAUUGUAAACGUCUUUUAUACUGGGAUAAACCUACUCUCGUGAGGGUAGCUGAAGGUACAGUAUGAAUAAGCACCGGCUAACCCCGUGCCAGCAGCAGCCGCCG
RNAcentral lists this ribosomal RNA (495 nucleotides) under uncultured bacterium. Its description in RNAcentral is "partial 16S ribosomal RNA". It matches the Rfam family "Bacterial small subunit ribosomal RNA", at positions 28 to 523 of the family's 1533-position model. The record is from RNAcentral.